GAUGAAGAACGUAGCGAAAUGCGAUAAGUAAUGUGAAUUGCAGAAUUCAGUGAAUCAUCGAAUCUUUGAACGCACAUUGCGCCCGCCAGUAUUCUGGCGGGCAUGCCUGUCCGAGCGUCAUUUCAACCCUCGAACCCCUCCGGGGGGGCGGCGUUGGGGAUCGGCCCUGCCUCUUGGCGGUGGCCGUCUCCGAAAUACAGUGGCGGUCUCGCCGCAGCCUCUCCUGCGCAGUAGUUUGCACACUCGCAUCGGGAGCGCGGCGCGUCCACAGCCGUUAAACACCCAACUUCUGAAAUGUUGACCUCGGAUCAGGUAGGAAUACCCGCUGAACUUAAGCAUAUCAAUAAGCGGAGGA
This 355-nucleotide unclassified non-coding RNA is filed under the name soil metagenome. RNAcentral describes it as "partial contains 5.8S ribosomal RNA, internal transcribed spacer 2, and large subunit ribosomal RNA". The stretch from base 1 to 120 matches the Rfam family "5.8S ribosomal RNA", at positions 35 to 154 of the family's 154-position model. The record is from RNAcentral.